Molecule: ribosomal RNA, 764 nt
Filed under: Microbacterium trichothecenolyticum
Lineage: Bacteria; Bacillati; Actinomycetota; Actinomycetes; Micrococcales; Microbacteriaceae
Description: bacterial SSU rRNA
Rfam family: Bacterial small subunit ribosomal RNA
Source: RNAcentral
CAUGCAGUCGACGGUGAAGCCAAGCUUGCUUGGUGGAUCAGUGGCGAACGGGUGAGUAACACGUGAGCAACCUGCCCUGGACUCUGGGAUAAGCGCUGGAAACGGCGUCUAAUACUGGAUAUGAGCUCUCAUCGCAUGGUGGGGGUUGGAAAGAUUUUUCGGUCUGGGAUGGGCUCGCGGCCUAUCAGCUUGUUGGUGAGGUAAUGGCUCACCAAGGCGUCGACGGGUAGCCGGCCUGAGAGGGUGACCGGCCACACUGGGACUGAGACACGGCCCAGACUCCUACGGGAGGCAGCAGUGGGGAAUAUUGCACAAUGGGCGGAAGCCUGAUGCAGCAACGCCGCGUGAGGGAUGACGGCCUUCGGGUUGUAAACCUCUUUUAGCAGGGAAGAAGCGAGAGUGACGGUACCUGCAGAAAAAGCGCCGGCUAACUACGUGCCAGCAGCCGCGGUAAUACGUAGGGCGCAAGCGUUAUCCGGAAUUAUUGGGCGUAAAGAGCUCGUAGGCGGUUUGUCGCGUCUGCUGUGAAAUCCCGAGGCUCAACCUCGGGCCUGCAGUGGGUACGGGCAGACUAGAGUGCGGUAGGGGAGAUUGGAAUUCCUGGUGUAGCGGUGGAAUGCGCAGAUAUCAGGAGGAACACCGAUGGCGAAGGCAGAUCUCUGGGCCGUAACUGACGCUGAGGAGCGAAAGGGUGGGGAGCAAACAGGCUUAGAUACCCUGGUAGUCCACCCCGUAAACGUUGGGAACUAGUUGUGGGGACCAUU